GACAGGGAAGUGGAAAGCUAUAGCAAAGCACAAGUGCGAUGACUUAGGCUAAAUGGCUGAUGAACAGCUUUUCUGUGAUUGUAAAUAAAAGAGUAAUUUUGCUCAAUGGUGGGCCUACUUAAGCAAAGCAAACUUGCUUGAGUGCUGCUCUGUAGGGGUCAGAUCAUUUAGAAAAUGCAAUGUUGGUGAGAAUUGAGGACAUCAUUGUGUUGAGUACCAGCACUCAGAAAACUGAGCUGAAACUACAGAUUUUAGGUAGCUACAGAUUCCACUAAUCAUCUCCACCAACAACCUUAUGCCAUGGUUGUUUUUGUUAAUGUUGCAGAGCAACAGAAUAAUUCAAUUCAAGUGAGAACCCAGAAGUCGUCUUGCUUAUCUGAACUACAGCUGCAUCUGCAAAACUGGACUGGAAAUCUGCAGAGGACGUGCUCUUCAUUAGAUUUCUAAUGUUUCCCUUUUCUAGUCAGGCUGGACUGAUGAGAGCAUCCUGCCCUUGUCCCUGGUUCCAGCCAGAGCCAAAAAGUGAGAUGCAUGUGAAAAUGAAAGGGGUAUGUGGAGCAAUAAUAAAGUCCCUCUUACCAUAUCUGAAAAAUGUCAUCUUGGAUUUCAUGAAAGAGAGCAAGAAUGAACAUUACUGGCUGCAGACUCACUGGAGAAAAGGAGGGAAGGAGAAAAGAAACAACAUUUGGUCUAACAGACCUCUUUUUGUCUGCUGGAGAAAAACAGUCUUGGAGCAGCAGCACCAGAGGAAGUGAUAAACUAAGAAGGUCAGCAAAGUGUUAUGAAGGUCAUUGGAAGUCAUAUGGCUCCUGAGGCAGGAUUGCUGACUGAGCACUUGCCAGCCCCUCCAUAUCCAUAUCCCUCAACCUGUCUUACAUGCGCAGUGGAGCAAAUUUGAGGGGAGGAAUGGAGGAAGAUGCUGCUUUUUCUGGCCUGGGAUGACUACUGCCUGUGUGCUAAGUUUUCUCCUUCUGCACAGCAGCUGGAAUGGCUUCUGGUUUUCUUUCAUCCCUGCCCAGCUGGGAUUCUUCAGCAUCACCCAUGGGAUGGUAUGAGUGUAUUUACCACACAAGCAUAGAACCACAGAGAAUUUUCCCUCUUUAGCUUGACUUGAGCUGUUGAGGCAUGAGAGAUUUGCUGGAGAACAUUUGGCUAUAUGUUUUCCUCUUAGUGUUUCUUUAACAACUUGAGAAUGACCCAGUGUCAGGACGCACAGGGACAGAAGUUAUUCUAUAUCCUCUGGGCUGCAAUGUUAGUGUUGAAUUAACAAAGUUUGGCUUUGUGCAUAACUACAUAGAGCAAUUACAUGCUUCUACCUCUGCAUGAUUCCUCCAUCUGUUGUAACUGCCACAGUUUAUAAAUAAAUAAAUAAAUAAAGGCUUAUAUUGCUGUGAAACUCUUCUUUGAUACAGAUAUAGAUUGAGCAUUGGAGAGCUUCUGUAAAAAGCUGUUUGUGGUUUUUAUUAUUAUUAUUAUUUUUUCCAAACCACAGCCUAGCUGACUUCCCAGUAAUUCCUUUUUUUUUUUUUUUCCCAAAAACUAUUAAAAAUACUACAAAUACAAAGGUACUUCAAUCUUCAUGAAAACGAUGUAUAUGAAAAAAUUACCUGCAUUAGACUUGUCUGUCUUUUGUCUGUGAGGAAUGGAAACUUUUCCUGUUAUUCCUUCUCUAUUUGCGUGUGUGUGAAUAAAUUCAUAUUUGUAUUUAUGCAUUUAUAUAUAUGAAUAUAGAAAAUUAUAUGUAUGUAAAAGCACUAUGUAAAGCACUUGAAUGUCACUAUUACUCAGAAAUGCUCUCUCAUCUCUGUCUUUCCAUUGUUUAGUUCUGUAACAUUUUCUCCCCACAGUCUGCCUUCUGAAAUGGGAGUGCAUUGGGAUCCACUUUGUUGAUUUAUCUGUAGUUAUCUCUUUAGACAUUCGUAAUUUACUCCCCAAACAUUGGAGGAGUGCAAUUAAAUUAUAGAACUGUAGAGCAUUACUGGCCAGAAGCCAAACUGUACUUCAGGGGAAUUCAUCACAACUUAUAAGGUAAAGGAGGGCUGGUCCAAUCCACAGCUGGAUGUUAAAACCUCUGAGGAACACCCAGGUGCUGAGGAAAGUGGGUCUGAUGAUUUAACACCUGUCUUUCUAUGUGCAGAGCUGUGUCUGCUUGGUGUGCUACUGACGCUGUUUCUAAGUAAACAUUAAACUGAGGUUUUUCUGACAUUGGUAACUCACUGUCUUCCAGCUUUGGUUAGAUGAAGACAAGCCACAGUCAAAACCUCUGAAGCAAAAUAAAUAGAAGUGUAUAUUUUCUAAGAGGCUGCCUGCAAUAUAGUAAGACAUUCAGUCCUUCCUUAAUGUUAAGGAUGCAGAAUAAGGAAAACAAAGCUACACAGUUAUA
Molecule: non-coding RNA, 2383 nt
Organism: Anas platyrhynchos (mallard)
Lineage: Eukaryota; Metazoa; Chordata; Aves; Anseriformes; Anatidae
Source: RefSeq, a predicted model, not a curated record